GCGAUCGGGGGAGAAGGGCCUUAGUCAGGGAGGUGACCAGGAAGCCGAUGGUCACUCUGACAGAGCUCCAGCGUUGUUCUAUGAAGAGAGGAGAACCUUCCAGAAGGACAACCAUCUCUGCAGCACUCCACAAAUCAGGCCUGUUUGGUGGCCAGACGGAAGCCACUCCUCAGUAAAAAGCACAUGACAGCCCGCCUGGAGGACUCUCAGACCAUGAGAAACUAAAUUCUCUGGUCUGAUGAAACAAAGAUUGAACUCUUUGACCUGAAUGCCAAGUGUCAUGUCUGGAGGAGACCAGGCACUGCUCAUCACCUGGCCAAUACCAUCCCUGCAGUGAAGCAUGGUGGUGGCAGCAUCAUGCUGUGGGGAUGUUUUUCAGCGGGAGGAACUGGGAGACGAGUCAGGAUUGGCCCAGCCAGAGCCCUGAACCCGAUUGAACAUCUCUGGAGAGAUCUGAAAACGUCUGUGCACUGACGCUCCCCAUCCAACCUGAUGGAACUUGAGCGGUUCUGCAAAGAGGAAUGUGAGAAACUUCUCAGAAAUAGGCGUGCCACGCUUGUGGAAUCACAUCCAAGAAGACUUGAGGCUGUAAUUACUGCCAAAGGUGCUUCAACAAAGUAUUGAGCAAAGGCUGUGAAUACUUAUGUACAUGUUAUCUUUUUGUUCUUUAUUUUUAACAGAUUUGCAAAAAACAAGUUUUCACUUUGUCGUUAUGGGUUGUUGUGUGUAGAACGUUAAGGAAUAUAAUGAAUUUAAUCUAUUUUGGAAUAAGGCUGUAACAUAACAAAAUGUGGAAAAUUGAAGCGCUGUGAAUACUUUCCGGAUGCACUGUAUGUCUCUAAAACUAGUCAGUCACUAAAUCGCUUAGUACAUCUCACAAAAGUAAACAUUCAUGCCAAUGAUCAUGUCAGUGUCAUCAGAAUGAUAAACUUAGGCUACAGUUUGAGAGUUACUGUAUGAAAAUGCACAAGGCUGCACUUCUAUGGUAUAUAUCAAUGUCAAUACUAUUUUCAUAUUACUGUAUGUGGGUUAUAGAUUGAAAGAGACUGGACAGGAUAGUUUUCUCCAGCUUUUACUACUGCUACUUUAUGAAAGAACCCCCCCCCCCCCAAAUACUUUACAGUAAGAAAAAGACGAGGGGCACAAACGGAAAAAAAAACUAAAUUAGAAAAGCACAGGACACACCUAAGGCACAACUUUGCCCCCAGCACUGUUCUAGCGCUGUCUCUACACAUCCAGACGUCCCGGUCUGUCUGCAAUGUUUUAUACAAAAGGUCUUCUAGAAAUGUGUAAAACUAUGCUUGACAGUUGAUGACAAACCGUUCAACAAUUUUGCAUGUAAAGGCUUAUGCAAGGAACAAAUGCCUAGAUGUUUUGAGGGGUAAGACUAUUCAACCAGAGAGAACCAUCUACUAUAUUUUCAACAUGAGAUGAGCAAUUGAAAAUGUGAAAAAAAGCUGACACUUGUACAUUAUCAAUUGCAAAAUGUACCAAAGCAAUUGCAAUUUGUUCAAAGGAAAUUGGGAGAAAUUGCUUUAAUGAUGUGCACACGUGACUAGAUGAUUUGGAAUUUGUACAAGUGGUAUCAACAAUUGCACUUUUGAUCUGAGAAAUGCACGAAAGAGCCUACAGUUUCCCAGGAAACGUGUGUUUUACUUGUGAUCUAUUCAGGGGAUCACAGAUCUUUGAUGAAGUCUCCACCUGCUGGAUCUUUGAAUAAUAGCACUAGUG
Molecule: long non-coding RNA, 1731 nt
Organism: Gasterosteus aculeatus aculeatus (three-spined stickleback)
Lineage: Eukaryota; Metazoa; Chordata; Actinopteri; Perciformes; Gasterosteidae
Source: Ensembl